This 253-nucleotide ribosomal RNA is filed under the name uncultured bacterium. RNAcentral describes it as "partial 16S ribosomal RNA". It matches the Rfam family "Bacterial small subunit ribosomal RNA", at positions 524 to 776 of the family's 1533-position model. The record is from RNAcentral.
UACGGGGGGGGCAAGCGUUGUUCGGAAUUACUGGGCGUAAAGGGCUCGUAGGUGGCCAACUAAGUCAGACGUGAAAUCCCUCGGCUUAACCGGGGAACUGCGUCUGAUACUGGAUGGCUUGAGAUUGGGAGAGGGAUGCGGAAUUCCAGGUGUAGCGGUGAAAUGCGUAGAUAUCGGGAGGAACACCAGUGGCGAAGGCGGUUGCCUGGGGCUUUGCUGACGCUGAUGCGCGAAAGCGUGGGGAGCGAUCCGG